This 907-nucleotide ribosomal RNA is filed under the name uncultured bacterium. Its description in RNAcentral is "bacterial SSU rRNA". It matches the Rfam family "Bacterial small subunit ribosomal RNA", at positions 9 to 888 of the family's 1533-position model. The record is from RNAcentral.
GAGUUUGAUCAUGGCUCAGGACGAACGCUGGCGGCGUGCCUAAUACAUGCAAGUCGAACGGUCUUUUCUAUGGAAGCUUGCUUCCACUGGGAAGAUAGUGGCGGACGGGUGAGUAACACGUGGGUAACCUGCCCAUAAGAGGGGGAUAACAUCCGGAAACGGGUGCUAAUACCGCAUAGUUUUCUUGAUCGCAUGAUUGAGAAAGGAAAGACGGCCUUUGUGCUGUCGCUUAUGGAUGGACCCGCGGCGUAUUAGUUAGUUGGUGAGGUAACGGCUCACCAAGACGAUGAUACGUAGCCGACCUGAGAGGGUGAUCGGCCACAUUGGGACUGAGACACGGCCCAAACUCCUACGGGAGGCAGCAGUAGGGAAUCUUCCGCAAUGGACGAAAGUCUGACGGAGCAACGCCGCGUGAGUGAAGAAGGUUUUCGGAUCGUAAAACUCUGUUGUCAGAGAAGAACAAGUCGGAGAGUAACUGCUCCGGCCUUGACGGUAUCUGACCAGAAAGCCACGGCUAACUACGUGCCAGCAGCCGCGGUAAUACGUAGGUGGCAAGCGUUGUCCGGAUUUAUUGGGCGUAAAGCGAGCGCAGGCGGUUCCUUAAGUCUGAUGUGAAAGCCCACGGCUCAACCGUGGAAGGUCAUUGGAAACUGGGGAACUUGAGUGCAGAAGAGGAGAGUGGAAUUCCAUGUGUAGCGGUGAAAUGCGUAGAUAUAUGGAGGAACACCAGUGGCGAAGGCGACUCUCUGGUCUGUAACUGACGCUGAGGCUCGAAAGCGUGGGGAGCAAACAGGAUUAGAUACCCUGGUAGUCCACGCCGUAAACGAUGAGUGCUAAGUGUUGGAGGGUUUCCACCCUUCAGUGCUGCAGCUAACGCAUUAAGCACUCCGCCUGGGGAGUACGGCCG